CUGGCUCAGAACGAACGCUGGCGGCAGGCUUAACACAUGCAAGUCGAGCGCCCCGCAAGGGGAGCGGCAGACGGGUGAGUAACACGUGGGAACGUACCCUUUACUACGGAAUAACGCAGGGAAACUUGUGCUAAUACCGUAUGUGCCCUUCGGGGGAAAGAUUUAUCGGUAAGGGAUCGGCCCGCGUUGGAUUAGCUAGUUGGUGGGGUAAAGGCCUACCAAGGCGACGAUCCAUAGCUGGUCUGAGAGGAUGAUCAGCCACAUUGGGACUGAGACACGGCCCAAACUCCUACGGGAGGCAGCAGUGGGGAAUAUUGGACAAUGGGCGCAAGCCUGAUCCAGCCAUGCCGCGUGAGUGAUGAAGGCCCUAGGGUUGUAAAGCUCUUUCACCGGAGAAGAUAAUGAC
This 406-nucleotide ribosomal RNA is filed under the name Rhizobium alamii. RNAcentral's name for it is "bacterial SSU rRNA". It matches the Rfam family "Bacterial small subunit ribosomal RNA", at positions 19 to 455 of the family's 1533-position model. The record is from RNAcentral. Lineage: Bacteria; Pseudomonadati; Pseudomonadota; Alphaproteobacteria; Hyphomicrobiales; Rhizobiaceae.